UCAGGUGUCUUUAUCGCGGGUGUUACACCUCUUCCCAUUCCGAACAGAGAAGUUAAGCCCCGCAGAGCCGAUGGUACUAUAUGGGUAACUGUAUGGGAGAGUAGGACGGUGCCUGAU
This 117-nucleotide ribosomal RNA is filed under the name Bacteroidota bacterium. The record is from RNAcentral. Lineage: Bacteria; Pseudomonadati; Bacteroidota.